This 466-nucleotide ribosomal RNA is filed under the name uncultured bacterium. RNAcentral's name for it is "partial 16S ribosomal RNA". It matches the Rfam family "Bacterial small subunit ribosomal RNA", at positions 28 to 507 of the family's 1533-position model. The record is from RNAcentral.
GAUGAACGCUGGCGGCGUGCUUAACACAUGCAAGUCGAACGGAAAGGCCCAAGCUUGCUUGGGUACUCGAGUGGCGAACGGGUGAGUAACACGUGGGUGAUCUGCCCUGCACUUCGGGAUAAGCCUGGGAAACUGGGUCUAAUACCGGAUAGGACCACAUUUUGGAUGGUGUGGUGGAAAGUUUUUCGGUGUGGGAUGAGCUCGCGGCCUAUCAGCUUGUUGGUGGGGUAAUGGCCUACCAAGGCGUCGACGGGUAGCCGGCCGGAGAGGGUGUACGGCCACAUUGGGACUGAGAUACGGCCCAGACUCCUACGGGAGGCAGCAGUGGGGAAUAUUGCACAAUGGGCGCAAGCCUGAUGCAGCGACGCCGCGUGGGGGAUGACGGCCUUCGGGUUGUAAACUCCUUUCGCUAGGGACGAAGCGUUAUGUGACGGUACCUGGAGAAGAAGCACCGGCUAACUACGUG